Molecule: non-coding RNA, 1276 nt
Organism: Dama dama (fallow deer)
Lineage: Eukaryota; Metazoa; Chordata; Mammalia; Artiodactyla; Cervidae
Source: the annotation of a RefSeq genome assembly
GGGAGGAGGAUCAGCCUGGGAUCAGCCUGGUGGUCUUUAAGAGAGAUCCUCCCUGACUUCUCUGCCUGUCACUUCUGCUCGGAACCCCAGUCUAGCUCACUGACCGGGCAGGAUGUGGGCCGCAGCGCUGCUUCUGGUUGUCCUGGCUCCCGUCAUGCAGGUAUCUUCCAACUUCAGGUUAAUCACUAGUGGGACUGGGGAGACUGCUUCGUUCACCUGUGAUCUUACACAAGGGGCCACCUAUAUCCACUUGUACAAACAUGAGGAGGGGACGGCCCCCCGACGCCUUCUCUACUACGACAGCUACAACUCAAAGCCUGUGUUUGAAUCAGGAAUCAGUGGAGAAAAAUACAGUGUCUAUAAGCGCACAGAGAGGAGCUACACAUUUGCAAUCCUAAAUCUGAAAGAAAGUGAUUCCGGCAUAUACUACUGUGCCAUCUGGGAUAAGCACAAUUACAUAAAAAACUUCAAUGUUGGAGCAAAACUCGUUGUCACAGAGAGAAACCUUGCUGCAGACACUUCCCCCAAGCCCACUAUUUUUCUUCCUUCAAUUGCUGAAAUCAACCAUGAUAAUGCUGGAACAUAUCUUUGUCUCCUGGAGAAAUUUUUCCCUGAUGUUAUUACAGUUUCUUGGAAAGUAAAAAAUAGCAACAGAGUUCUGCCAUCCCAGCAGGGAAAUACCAUGAAGACCAAAGACACAUACAUGAAGUUGAGCUGGCUGACCGUGACCAAAAACUCUAUGGAUAAACAACAUGUAUGUGUUGUCAAACACACGAAAAAUAUAGGAGGAAUUGAUCAAGAGAUUAUUUUUCCUUCAAUAAAAGAAGUUGUCUCCGCAGUUGUCCCUACUACUGAGCCUCCUACUACUGAGCCUCCAGAUGAUUGUUUGACCGAUGAAAGCAAAGCUACAGGUACUGGUUCUAAAAAAGCUUGUCUGAAAGAUAAAAGUGAAGUCACUGCUGAUACUAAUUCUACAAAAUCGUGUCUGGAAGGUGAAAGCAGUACCCUGGAGCUGCAGCUCAUAAACACCUCUGCCUAUUACACCUACCUCUUACUCCUUCUCAUAAGCACAGUCUACUUUGUCAUCAUCACGUCCUGUGUGUUUAGGAGAACAGGCAUCUGCUGUGAUGGGAAGAUCUCGUGACAAAGAGGGCUACCGAGAGGUCAACGUUCCUUCAUCAUCUCCAGUCCCAGAAAUUCUCUGCUUGCUUUCUGUUUUGAGUGAGCUCAGUUCAGAUGUGUAUUUAUCUGUGACGUCAUCAUUGUCCCGCCCCCA